RNAcentral lists this ribosomal RNA (330 nucleotides) under uncultured soil bacterium. Its description in RNAcentral is "bacterial SSU rRNA". It matches the Rfam family "Bacterial small subunit ribosomal RNA", at positions 26 to 346 of the family's 1533-position model. The record is from RNAcentral.
AGGAUGAACGCUGGCGGCGUGCUUAACACAUGCAAGUCGAACGAUGAAGGCAGGAGCUUGCUCUGGCUGGAUUAGUGGCGAACGGGUGAGUAACACGUGAGUAACCUGCCCCAGACUCUGGGAUAAGCGCUGGAAACGGCGUCUAAUACCGGAUACGAGCUUCCACCGCAUGGUGAGGAGCUAGGAAAGAAUUUCGGUCUGGGAUGGACUCGCGGCCUAUCAGCUUGUUGGUGAGGUAAUGGCUACACCAAGGCGACGACGGGUAGCCGGCCUGAGAGGGUGACCGGCCACGACGUGGGACUGAGACGACCGGCCAGACUCCGUACGGGA